RNAcentral lists this non-coding RNA (25 nucleotides) under Mus musculus (house mouse). Lineage: Eukaryota; Metazoa; Chordata; Mammalia; Rodentia; Muridae. The record is from RNAcentral.
UGAAGUUAAACGUACCACAGGUUUC